This 471-nucleotide ribosomal RNA is filed under the name uncultured Acidobacteriota bacterium. RNAcentral's name for it is "bacterial SSU rRNA". It matches the Rfam family "Bacterial small subunit ribosomal RNA", at positions 224 to 704 of the family's 1533-position model. The record is from RNAcentral. Lineage: Bacteria; Pseudomonadati; Acidobacteriota.
GAGGAGCCCGCGGCUGAUUAGCUAGUUGGUGAGGUAAUGGCUCACCAAGGCAACGAUCAGUAUCCGGUCUGAGAGGACGGUCGGACACACUGGAACUGAGACACGGUCCAGACUCCUACGGGAGGCAGCAGUGGGGAAUUUUUGGCAAUGGGGGAAACCCUGACCAAGCAACGCCGCGUGGGUGAUGAAGUCUCUUGGGACGUAAAACCCUUUCGACGGGGACGAAACCGCAAGGUUGACGGUACCCGUAGAAGAAGCCCCGGCUAACUCCGUGCCAGCAGCCGCGGUAAUACGGGGGGGGCAAGCGUUGUUCGGAAUUACUGGGCGUAAAGGGCGCGUAGGCGGUGCUCUAAGUCGGAUGUGAAAACUCUGGGCUCAACCCAGAGCCUGCAUCCGAAACUGGAGUGCUAGAGUUCUGGAGGGGGUAGCGGAAUUCCUGGUGUAGCGGUGAAAUGCGUAGAUAUCAGGAGG